Molecule: small RNA, 27 nt
Filed under: Bombyx mori (domestic silkworm)
Lineage: Eukaryota; Metazoa; Arthropoda; Insecta; Lepidoptera; Bombycidae
Description: ovarian small RNA-12760
Source: RNAcentral
CAACAAGCGUUCGACGAUAACCUCGAG